AGCCAGAGGAUACAUUAUAUAAUAUACGCAAAACGACCGAGGCGGCUACCAAGGAAUCAAUGAUAAUCAGGACAAUCAAGGUUGUCCCAGCCACUAAAUCAUUGCGGGUCAGGCUUUUUGGGAAGUUUUUGAUAUAGCAAAGUUAAAGUUUUUGGUGACUGUUGGUUGGAAGCUACUUGCUUUUGGUUUGCAUGUCUAUGAUGGAGAUUGCUGGAACUCUUGUGGCUUUAGAGAAAUCGCUUUGCCCACUGAAUCACCUGGCCAUUUGUCAAAUUGAAUACAAGGAAAUGAGAGUGCCCUGUUGUGGAUUCUUCUUGUAACAAGUCCAUAAGACAUGCCUCGUCCCUGAUGCAAAUGAUGUCUUUGCUGGAGAAAAUGAAAUUGUAAUGGGGAAUGUGUUCCCGGAGAUGAUUCAAAAACGCUAUUGAAAGGACCAAUCACCAUUCAG
Long non-coding RNA from Populus trichocarpa (black cottonwood), 448 nucleotides. RefSeq lists it as uncharacterized. The transcript has 2 exons. The record is from RefSeq and is a predicted model, not a curated record. NCBI's taxonomy places the organism in Eukaryota, Viridiplantae, Streptophyta, Magnoliopsida, Malpighiales, Salicaceae.